AACUUAAUUCAUUUUCAGUUGCCAACAUAGCAAGUCACUGUUCAAAGCUCGAUCACCUUGCUGUUUGAAAACAACAACAAAUCAUCUUCCGGGGCAGCAAAGUUGGCUGGAUUUGGCCAACCAGUGGCUCAGGCUUCGCUGUUCGGCCAGGCAAGCCCGGUGGUGGAAUCGACACACCUAGAAGGUCCGAGCAACAACAGAAGUGGAUUGGUUACCAGUCUGCCACAAGGAAUGACCAGCAAAAGCCAAUUUUACUGCUGUUAAAUAGUAGGACUAUCUUCAGAAGCAGCGGUAAUCUACAUUCGAAUGGAUUCUGGCGGAUUGAUCCUCAAGAUGCUCAGAUGCUCAGAGCCGGAGGACGGUCUAUCGAUUGGCAAAGUAUCAUGACAAGAUACUUCAGACACACUAGCGUAUACAACCGAUCGGGCCAAUUCCCUGUAGUUCACUUGCAGAUAACCGAAAUCAAGUCUUCGUGAUUCGGAUUCGGAUGGUUCGGAUCGCUCCGCCAAAAAAAUUUCUCCCUUAAGGCUCGAUCCAACAUCUUGAGAGCUGGGUGUUGAUUCCAGCGACCCUCAUUUCAAAUUGCCCAAAGGUUCCAAACCGGAGGAUGAAAUCUUCGCACAGAAUCGAGUUUAGUUAUGACGGCUGAACUGGAUGCCCACAACUAAAUUUAACAUCAGAGAACUAGUCUAGCACCGAUAUUUGAUGCCCCAAGCCCACCUGCGUUCGGUGCAUCCGUUGCCGGCGCGAUAUCGACGGCUAGUGCCUUCGGAGCAUAAUCAAUUUUGGUGCCGAUCCUGGAUCCGAUCGUUGCCGCUAUUUCAAGCGCGCUAUUUAUUAGAUCUUCCAGCCUUUUCGGUGGAGUCAAUUUAACACCGGCAGCAUAAGUACAUGAGAUUCAAAGACGCAUCAUAGCAGGAAAUCGCACACACUUUGGACCGCUCCGAUUAAAUAUAAUUUGCGCCAUAACAAACAACUAUCUACAAAACGCUGAUUAGAUUAUUAAAUUUAUUUUAAAUUUAUAUUUAAUUUACAAUAUAUUUUGUUUCACAAUAUAU
Armigeres subalbatus is the source of this 1058-nucleotide long non-coding RNA. RefSeq lists it as uncharacterized. The transcript has 3 exons. Lineage: Eukaryota; Metazoa; Arthropoda; Insecta; Diptera; Culicidae. The record is from RefSeq and is a predicted model, not a curated record.